GAUCUAGCCAUGGGCAGGUUGAAGGUUGAGUAACAUCAACUGGAGGACCGAACCGACUAAUGUUGAAAAAUUAGCGGAUGACUUGUGGCUAGGGGUGAAAGGCCAAUCAAACCUGGAGAUAGCUGGUUCUCCCCGAAAGCUAUUUAGGUAGCGCCUCGGACGAAUACUACUGGGGGUAGAGCACUGUUAAGGCUAGGGGGUCAUCCCGACUUACCAACCCUUUGCAAACUCCGAAUACCAG
RNAcentral lists this ribosomal RNA (241 nucleotides) under Vibrio parahaemolyticus. RNAcentral's name for it is "partial 23S ribosomal RNA". It matches the Rfam family "Bacterial large subunit ribosomal RNA", at positions 727 to 966 of the family's 2925-position model. The record is from RNAcentral. Lineage: Bacteria; Pseudomonadati; Pseudomonadota; Gammaproteobacteria; Vibrionales; Vibrionaceae.